RNAcentral lists this ribosomal RNA (437 nucleotides) under Lepidocybium flavobrunneum (escolar). RNAcentral's name for it is "partial 16S ribosomal RNA". It matches the Rfam family "Bacterial large subunit ribosomal RNA", at positions 1991 to 2563 of the family's 2925-position model. Lineage: Eukaryota; Metazoa; Chordata; Actinopteri; Scombriformes; Gempylidae. The record is from RNAcentral.
AUGGAAAGGCACAACGAGGGCUCAACUGUCUCCUCUUCUCUAGUCAAUGAAAUUGAAUCUCCCCGUGCAAAAGCGGGGCAUACCCCCAUAAGACGAGAAGACCCUGUGGAGCUUUAGGCACAAGGCAUAUCAUGUUAAACACCCCUGAACAAAGGGCUGAACUAAAUGAACCCUGCCCUCAUGCCUUAGGUUGGGGCGACCAUGGGGAAGCAAGCAACCCCCACGUGGAAUGGGAACACUUCUUUUUUUCUCCCUCCUACAAGCAAGAGCUGCAGCUCUAGCAAACAGAAUUUCUGACCAAACUAAAGAUCCGGCAACGCCGAUCAACGGACCAAGUUACCCCAGGGAUAACAGCGCAAUCCCCUUUUAGAGCCCAUAUCGACAAGGGGGUUUACGACCUCGAUGUUGGAUCAGGACAUCCUAAUGGUGUAACCGCU